This 492-nucleotide ribosomal RNA is filed under the name uncultured bacterium. RNAcentral describes it as "partial 16S ribosomal RNA". It matches the Rfam family "Bacterial small subunit ribosomal RNA", at positions 29 to 507 of the family's 1533-position model. The record is from RNAcentral.
AGUGAACGCUGGCGGUAGGCCUAACACAUGCAAGUCGAACGGCAGCACAGUAAGAGCUUGCUCUUACGGGUGGCGAGUGGCGGACGGGUGAGGAAUACAUCGGAAUCUACUUUUUCGUGGGGGAUAACGUAGGGAAACUUACGCUAAUACCGCAUACGACCUACGGGUGAAAGCAGGGGAUCUUCGGACCCUGCGCGAUUGAAUGAGCCGAUGUCGGAUUAGCUAGUUGGCGGGGUAAAGGCCCACCAAGGCGACGAUCCGUAGCUGGUCUGAGAGGAUGAUCAGCCACACUGGAACUGAGACACGGUCCAGACUCCUACGGGAGGCAGCAGUGGGGAAUAUUGGACAAUGGGCGCAAGCCUGAUCCAGCCAUACCGCGUGGGUGAAGAAGGCCUUCGGGUUUUAAAGCCCUUUUGUUGGGAAAGAAAAGCAGCAGGUUAAUACCCCGCUGUUCUGACGGUACCCAAAGAAUAAGCACCGGCUAACUUCGUG